This is a long non-coding RNA of Magnolia sinica, 2264 nucleotides long. RefSeq lists it as uncharacterized. The record is from RefSeq and is a predicted model, not a curated record. Lineage: Eukaryota; Viridiplantae; Streptophyta; Magnoliopsida; Magnoliales; Magnoliaceae. The transcript is spliced from 6 exons.
UCAAUUUCUCCAGAAAUCAUUCAGAAGGCAGGAUCACAGGAUUGAUGUAAAAUCUUUUUCCGAUGAAAGUUUGAACACAUGCUGGUGAUCCAAUCACACAGACCUCGAGAUGAAUGUGUCUUCAGCUAGGAUCAGGUCUAUCAAUUCGUCAGUAGUCUAGGACACUUUCACCAAAGGGUAGACCUGAUGAAUGGAAAGGGUCUCAUAAACAAAUGCCACACCAACACAUGUAGCUUGAAUUUUGUUGAAGAAACAAUCUAGCUAUAAACUGGGCAUGCAGCUUGGGGCAGGGGAAAGGAGAUGAUCAAGAGGGACCCCUGAACUAGCAUGGAUCUACGUGACAGUCCAUAGAUGUCAAUGGGCUGCAUCACUCUUCCAUUGAGCUUUCCUCUCCUCCCAUUCAUAACAAUAAAGGCAACAUGAGCAAUGCGAAAUCUUCAGUUUGCUCCCAAAAUUCCUUUUCCUUUCUCGAGUUAGAUAUUUUCAUAGAUAUAUCAACACUAUUUUGUUAUAUUGCUUUUGAUGGAGCCAUAAAUUUUCUCUAAAAUAAGGUUAAAUGUCUUAUUAUUUCAUUUUUUUUCCUGUCUAUGCAGUUAACUCCUUGGCCAGUCAUUAUUUACAAAAUAUCAAAAGUUGAUGGUAUGAGGAAUUCCAAGUGGACUUGCUCAUGUGGGGUAGUUGUAGGUUGUUUGCAGCACACAUGCUAAUUUAGGAUGUGUUAUAGACAUGGGCAUUCAUCUGGGGUUUCUAUAUCAAGCUGGGCUAGCCUUACAUCGGAGAGCGAGAGGGGAAACAUUCGUGGACCUCUGCAGAGAACAUUUCCCUGCAAACCAAAAAAUAGCAAGAAGUUUAUCACUCCUUUGUUGUAUUUAUGCCAGGAAAAAUAAGACUAGGUUCCCCUGUUUUCAAUGCAAGAAGCGCACUAGUUCCCCUGGUACUGUUGUGGUUCUCAUCAUCUUUUCUACAAUGCGUUUCAACAUUAGAUUUUAAUCUUACGUUUUUUAUUUCAUUAAUCUUUUCUUAAUUCACAUCUAAGACAUCUAUGACAAAAACUGACAUUUCUUUUCUUGUAUUUUUGUUCUUUAUGAGGAUACUUAGUUUCCCAAAAUGUGUUUUGGUUGGAUUUGUGAGCCUUUGCAUCUUUUAGAUUCUCCUAAUCCAAAAUGGAAAUCGAUCUAUGUAUACAAUGCUAUGCAUCAUUCCUUCCCAUCAAGGCUAUAGGAUCUAGUAGUUUUGAUUUUAUUAGUACCUCAAACAGUAAUAUUAGUAGAAAUACUUCUGAAAAUGUUCAGCAAUGUCUACAGGGAUAUCCCUAUCUGCCGUUACUUAAUCAUCGCAAUGUAAGGGAGAUUAAGUGAAUAUCGCAACUUUCUGAUGGCUCACUGAGAUGCUGCAUACUUCGUAGAAGUUUCAGAUACAAUUCGAAUAUCAUUCUCGAAUCCACCUAUUGAUGACCUAGCUACAAUUUCGUCCCUUCCAACAAAGACCAUUCUAUGAACGGAUUCGGCUAAACUUCCAUCCAAUACAAUAGCUUGGAUUACAGAAGCCAGACCUGGUACCUCUUAUCCCUUCUAUCUUCAAGUAUUUGAAGGGGGAUACAAGUCCAAGUAAAGGUUUUCUUUGCAAUUGAGGGUCUGUGGUCCAUUCAAGGAUCCACCAAAGCCGCGUUCACAUAGAAUGAGAUUUUGUAAAGAUCACCAGGUCAAGUCAAUACAUGAGAAAAUCACCAGCAGCUUCCUUAAGUAAAAAAAAAAAUUACACAUAUCAAGCAAUUAGGGCAUCUACAUAGUGGCCCACCAGACUAAAAAUUCUAAUCGUCAUAUAUGUGCCACAUUUAAGACAAUUAGCCAUUUAUGCUAAAGAGAGUUGGGCCAUGGCCCAGCACCUGAGAUGAACCAUACAUGUCUAUGGUGGUACCUCAAAUUGUGUCCCUCACCGAACUCAUGGCAAGAAAGCCUAAUCAGAUGGCCCCCAUCGACUAAUCAGUUGCGAUCAAGAUCGCACACGGCUAUGGUGGAGAUUGGAUUGAACACAAUUUGAGGAAGAGCUUCCUUGAAAUGUAAACCUGAUUGAUGGAGUUGAUGAAAGAUAUACCGCAUGGUGGCCCACAAACAAACCUAUAUUUGGUUGACAUGCCAUUUACAUUAUUUCAUGUGAUGUGGACCAUUUGAUUUGUGGAUCUAGUUGAUUUUUUUAAUCUCAAGACCUAACAUCAAGUAUAAAAUUUGAUUAGCAGAGUGAAUUUUGUAAUUAAAACAUGGUGG